This is a long non-coding RNA of Callithrix jacchus (white-tufted-ear marmoset), 1311 nucleotides long. RefSeq lists it as uncharacterized. Lineage: Eukaryota; Metazoa; Chordata; Mammalia; Primates; Cebidae. The record is from RefSeq and is a predicted model, not a curated record.
UGCAAGUGGGAAUGAUGAGGAGAUGGAAAGUUAUUACAGACAUCUUGCCACUUCUCAGAAGCUGAGAUAUUUGAGAUGAUUCACUUCCUCCAUGAUCAAGCAGUUUUUCCAGGAAUUUAGUGGACCCAUUAAAUAUUGAAACCCUGUAUUAAUCUGCACACAUCUCAAAUUCUUCAUUAUGACCCUCAAAGAAAGAGCCUUCCUGAUGACAGACACAAAGUGGAGAAAAGUAUAGCCAAAAUAUGGAGAGACUCGUCUUUUUGAAGGCAUUGAUUGAGCUGCUAGAUCCAUCCACACUUGAAGGUAGAUGCAUCUCUGGACUUCCUUGACCUGUGACAUGAUUUGAAUAUGAUUUAUCUCUCAGCAGCUGAAAAAAGUAGUGAUUUGAUUUGCCUUGAGAAUGAUCCAUGUGCUGAGGAAAAGAAUGUGCAUGCCGUCCCUCUUAAAUGAAGUGUUCUGUAAGUAUCUAUUAGAUCCCUUUGGUCUAUAGUGCAGAUUAGCUCUGAUGUUUCUUUGUUUAUUUUCUGUCUAGAAGAUCUGUUCAGUGACAAAAACAAGGUGUGGAAGUCUCCAGCUAUUAUUGUACUGGGGCCUAUCUGUCUCUUUAGCUCUAAUAAUAUUUUUUCUAUAUAUCUGGGUGCUCCCAUGUUAGGCACAUAUAGAAUUGUUAUAUCUAUUUGAUGAAUUGACCCUUUUAUUAUUAUAUAGUGACUAUUUUGUCUGUUCUUAUAGGUUUUUUCCUUGAAAUCUACUUUUUCUGAUAUAAUAGGUAUAGUAACUCCUAUUCUUUUUUGCCUUCCAUUGGCAUGGGAUGUCUUUAUUUUUCACCUAUAAAGACACACAUAGAUAUUCCAUCCCUUUAUUUACAGUCUAUGUGUGUUUUUAUAGAUGAAAUGUGUUUUGUGUAGGAAACAGAUCAAGGAGUCCUUUUUUUAAUCCAUUCAGGCAGUUAUGUCUUUUGAUUGGAGAGUUUAGUCUAUUUAUACUCAAUAUUAUUGAUAAGCAAGAACUUACUCCAUUUUGUUAUUUGUUUUCUGAUUAUUUUGUGACCUUCUCUUCCUUCUUCCAGUCAUGUUUUUCUCUAAUGAAGAUGUUUUCUCCAGUGAUAGGAUUUUGUUUCUUGCUUUUUAUUUUUGUGUGUGUGUGUAUCCAUUGGUUUGAGGUUACCAUGAGGAUUGCAAAAUCUAUCUUACAACCUAUUAUUUUAACCUGAUAACAAUUUAACACUGUUUUCAUAAACAAGCAACAAGAAAACUAAUCAAAAUUAUAUGCCUUAACUUUGGCCCUCCUACUUUUUAAGUUUUUAUUCUU